RNAcentral lists this transfer RNA (76 nucleotides) under Kutzneria sp. 744. RNAcentral's name for it is "tRNA-Lys". It matches the Rfam family "tRNA". Rfam says of the family: Transfer RNA (tRNA) molecules are approximately 80 nucleotides in length. Their secondary structure includes four short double-helical elements and three loops (D, anti-codon, and T loops). The record is from RNAcentral. Lineage: Bacteria; Bacillati; Actinomycetota; Actinomycetes; Pseudonocardiales; Pseudonocardiaceae.
GCGGCGCUAGCUCAACUGGCAGAGCAGCUGACUCUUAAUCAGCGGGUUCGGGGUUCGAGUCCCUGGCGCCGCACAA